Molecule: long non-coding RNA, 1065 nt
Organism: Lutzomyia longipalpis
Lineage: Eukaryota; Metazoa; Arthropoda; Insecta; Diptera; Psychodidae
Exons: 5
Source: RefSeq, a predicted model, not a curated record
GAUUUAAAAAAAAAAACUGAAAUUUAAUUAUUUUAAUAUAUAAAACAAGUAAAAAAUUCAAUAAAACCUAUAUAGCUGAGAAUAUAAUGAAUAUAAAAAGUGUGCGCGUGGCAAUUGUGAAAAUGUGAAAAAUUUUGAAAAAUAUUCAGGAAACUGCGUGAAGUGGUAAAAAUAUACGAAGAGAAUUCCUUCGUCUUUCACCUUUGUUUUAAAUUAAAAUGACCCUUAUAAUUUCAUCAAGUUCCUCCGCGAAGAAAUUCCGUCGCUUCCACUUUGAUUGAUGAGCAUUGUGGAGUGCAAUUCACCGCAACCAAAAUCAGGGAUUUCACCGCAUAAAUGGCCAACAACCAAAAUUCAAUCACCUUUGUCCAUUCCGAGAGUACAACAACAACAACAACAAAUCCAGAGCUCAAAAGAGGAGUCUGAUGAUCACCUGCUCACCUCAAAUAUCAUUCCAACGGCGGCCAACGAACGACGAAUAAUCUGAGCAUGAGACUCCGGAGUGAAUGGAGGGGUUAAAGGUGAAUUGUUUUAGGGUCUGCUCUAUACAGGCGAGAUUCAUCAUAUUAAAUAUAGUCAUGUGCAGAAAAUCUUCCACCAAUUAAUUGGCUAAUUUAGGUCAAAUGGCGUUGAGGAUCGAAGGUUUCUGUAGUGAAUGUGAUGAGAAGAAAAUGAUAUGGUGUCGAGAAAUUGUUUGCGAAAAAGAAUUUGCUUUGUUCUUUAACGAAAGUCAAUUUUGUUGUUGAAGAAUUUGAUUUUCGUAAAUGCAAUGAAAAAUGUUCUCAUUUAACUAUUAAAAUUUAAUAGAGAAACAGAAGAAGAAAUGAGUUUAUUCAUUUAAUUUUUUUUCUUAUUUAACAUAAAACUCAAAAAAUGAGGUUGUCCCAAAAUUAUUAAAAGCCAAAAAGUCACAUUUAUGCAUAAAAAAGACUACGAAAAAAAAUCAAUAUUUUGCAUAAUUAAUACGCAUAAAGGUUGAGGAAUGGAGAAAUUAUGAUUUAGAAAGUUGACUUUUAAAUGCAAUUAUUUUGAAUUUCAAUAAACUUAUGCGGAGAAUUCUUGGAA